This is a non-coding RNA of Nicotiana tabacum (common tobacco), 310 nucleotides long. The record is from RefSeq and is a predicted model, not a curated record. NCBI's taxonomy places the organism in Eukaryota, Viridiplantae, Streptophyta, Magnoliopsida, Solanales, Solanaceae.
AUUUCUCCAGAUGCAUCGAAGGCAGACAAGCAAUCUGCAUAUUCUCUCCUCCUUGCUGAAAACAUCUGCGACAAGCUUGGCAUGAAGGUCCAAAAUCUUGUUGCAGAAAUUGUCGAUUCCAAAUUGGGUAAACAGAUUACAAGAAUCAAGCCUUCCCUCACUUACAUUGCCGCAGAGGAAGUAAUGAGUCUUGUCACUGCGCAAGUUGCAGAAAAUGUUCAAUUGAAUGAGGUUUGGAAAGAUAUUUUGAACGCCGAUGGAGAUGAAAUAUACGUUAAGGUAAUAAUUAGCUUCUUCUAAUAUAGAGGAU